CGGUGUUCAACUGGCGUGCCCGCGGGACGUCCUGCCGGUGAGCUCAGCCCGCGAGGGCGGCUCAACUUGAAAUCCCAUCGCGGUGCUCUUCAUUGAGUGUCGAGGUGGGCCGGCACGAUUACUUUUGAACAAAUUAGAGUGCUUAAAGCAGGCUAAAAUUUUGCCUGAAUACUGUGUAUAUGGAAUAAUGGAAUAGGACCUCGGUUCUAUUUUGUUGGUUUUCGGAACCCCGAGGUAAUGAUUAAUAGGAACGGAUGGGGGCAUUCGUAUUGCGACGUUAGAGGUGAAAUUCUUGGAUCGUCGCAAGACGGACUAAAGCGAAAGCAUUUGCCCAAAACGCUUUCAUUGAUCAAGAACGAAAGUUAGAGGUUCGAAGGCGAUCAGAUACCGCCCUAGUUCUAACCAUAAACUAUGCCAGCUAGCGAUCCGCCGACGUCCCUCUGAUGACUCGGCGGGCAGCUUCCGGGAAACCAAAGCUUUUGGGUUCCGGGGGAAGUAUGGUUGCAAAGCUGAAACUUAAAGGAAUUGACGGAAGGGCACCACCAGGAGUGGAGCCUGCGGCUUAAUUUGACUCAACACGGGAAACCUCACCAGGCCCAGACACUGGAAGGAUUGACAGAUUGAGAGCUCUUUCUUGAUUCAGUGGGUGGUGGUGCAUGGCCGUUCUUAGUCGGUGGAGCGAUUUGUCAGGUUAAUUCCGAUAACGGACGAGACUCUGACCUGAUAACUAGACGCACUUGCGGCAUCUCAAAGGUCCGCCGGCGGCUGGCUUUGCGCCCGUCGUCGCGCGCGAUUUUUACUGCCGGCGUACAAUAAAUUCUUCUUAGAGGGACAAGUGG
RNAcentral lists this ribosomal RNA (839 nucleotides) under uncultured eukaryote. RNAcentral's name for it is "SSU rRNA". It matches the Rfam family "Eukaryotic small subunit ribosomal RNA", at positions 635 to 1426 of the family's 1831-position model. The record is from RNAcentral.